Molecule: ribosomal RNA, 677 nt
Filed under: uncultured Curvibacter sp.
Lineage: Bacteria; Pseudomonadati; Pseudomonadota; Betaproteobacteria; Burkholderiales; Comamonadaceae
Description: bacterial SSU rRNA
Rfam family: Bacterial small subunit ribosomal RNA
Source: RNAcentral
AGUGGCGAACGGGUGAGUAAAGUAUCGGAACGUGCCCAGUCGUGGGGGAUAACGUAGCGAAAGUUACGCUAAUACCGCAUACGAUCUAUGGAUGAAAGCGGGGGAUCGCAAGACCUCGCGCGAUUGGAGCGGCCGAUAUCAGAUUAGGUAGUUGGUGGGGUAAAGGCUCACCAAGCCGACGAUCUGUAGCUGGUCUGAGAGGACGACCAGCCACACUGGGACUGAGACACGGCCCAGACUCCUACGGGAGGCAGCAGUGGGGAAUUUUGGACAAUGGGCGCAAGCCUGAUCCAGCCAUGCCGCGUGCGGGAUGAAGGCCUUCGGGUUGUAAACUGCUUUUGUACGGAACGAAAAGGUUUGGCCUAAUAAGCUGAGCUCAUGACGGUACCGUAAGAAUAAGCACCGGCUAACUACGUGCCAGCAGCCGCGGUAAUACGUAGGGUGCGAGCGUUAAUCGGAAUUACUGGGCGUAAAGCGUGCGCAGGCGGUUAUGUAAGACAGAUGUGAAAUCCCCGGGCUCAACCUGGGAACUGCAUUAGUGACUGCAUAGCUGGAGUACGGCAGAAAGGGGGAUGGAAUUCCGCGUGUAGCAGUGAAAUGCGUAGAUAUGCGGAGGAACACCGAUGGCGAACGCAAUCCCCUGGGCCUGUACUGACGCUCAUGCACGAAAGCGUGGG